GACGAACGCUGGCGGCGUGCUUAACACAUGCAAGUCGAACGAAGUGGCGAACGGGUGAGUAACGCGUAAUCAACCUGCCCUUCAGCGGGGGACAACAGUUGGAAACGACUGCUAAUACCGCAUACUGAAGGAGGGGAUUGCGUCUGAUUGGCUAGUUGGAUGGGUAACGGCCCAACAAGGCGAUGAUCAGUAGCCGUUCUGAGAGGAUGAACGGACACAUUGUGACUGAGAAACGGCCCAGACUGCUACGGGAGGCAGCAGUGGGGAAUCUGCCGAGAUGGACGAAAGUCUGACGGAGCAACGCCGCGUGAGUGAUGACGGCCUUCGGGUUGUAAAGCUCUGUUAUUCGGGACGCGGUACCGGAAUAGAAAGCCACGGCUAACUACGUGCCAGCAGCCGCGGUAAUUC
Molecule: ribosomal RNA, 408 nt
Filed under: uncultured bacterium
Lineage: Bacteria
Description: partial 16S ribosomal RNA
Rfam family: Bacterial small subunit ribosomal RNA
Source: RNAcentral